CAACUUAGGAUGCCCUGCCGGUUACUAGUAUAACUUUUUCAAUUGAGGUUGGAGAUUGUGGAAUAUCAAGAAUCAAUCACAAUACUUUGGUAUCUGGUUCUGUGUGAGGAAAGCUUCCAUGGAUGACACCAGAAUUGUUGAACGGUAGCAGUAGCCGGGUUUCUGAAGAAGGUUGCUGAGAUUGUUGCUAACUUCAUUGUGAAGGGUUCUGGUAUUCCAGCAAGGUAGUAGUUCAGGCAUAUCGUCAGGCAAUUGCAAGUAAGUUUUUCUUAACAUCGUAUCUCAAUGCAUGACUUGCAGCUCUG
Molecule: long non-coding RNA, 305 nt
Organism: Rosa chinensis
Lineage: Eukaryota; Viridiplantae; Streptophyta; Magnoliopsida; Rosales; Rosaceae
Exons: 3
Source: RefSeq, a predicted model, not a curated record